AAUCAACGCUGGCGGCGUGCCUAACACAUGCAAGUCGAACGCGAAAGUCCCGCAAGGGAUGAGUAGAGUGGCAAACGGGUGAGUAACACGUGGGUGACCUGCCUUCGAGCGGGGGAUAACGUCCCGAAAGGGACGCUAAUACCGCAUGACAUCCUGCCUUUGAAGAGGUGGAGAUCAAAGCUGGGGAUCGCAAGACCUAGCACUUGAAGAGGGGCCCGCGUCUGAUUAGCUAGUUGGUGGGGUAACGGCUCACCAAGGCAACGAUCAGUAUCCGGCCUGAGAGGGCGGACGGACACACUGGGACUGAGACACGGCCCAGACUCCUACGGGAGGCAGCAGUGGGAAUUGUUCGCAAUGGGCGCAAGCCUGACGACGCAACGCCGCGUGGAGGAUGAAGACCUUC
RNAcentral lists this ribosomal RNA (403 nucleotides) under uncultured bacterium. Its description in RNAcentral is "bacterial SSU rRNA". It matches the Rfam family "Bacterial small subunit ribosomal RNA", at positions 32 to 419 of the family's 1533-position model. The record is from RNAcentral.